GCCUUCGUGGCGUAGUGGUCAGUACGUAUUCCAGAGGUCCGUGGUUCAAGUCCCGGCGAGGGUA
Molecule: transfer RNA, 64 nt
Filed under: Stegodyphus mimosarum
Lineage: Eukaryota; Metazoa; Arthropoda; Arachnida; Araneae; Eresidae
Rfam family: tRNA
About the family: Transfer RNA (tRNA) molecules are approximately 80 nucleotides in length. Their secondary structure includes four short double-helical elements and three loops (D, anti-codon, and T loops).
Source: Rfam by way of RNAcentral